AUUCCCCUAGUAACUGCGAGUGAAAAGGGAAAAGCCCAGCGCCGAAGCCACCGUCCAGCAAUGGGCGGAGGGCAAUGUGGCGUUAAGGAGGAGCCUCCUCGACCAGACGUAUCGUUGAUCGGACCGUGGAAGCCUGAGUCCCCCUGACCGGGGCCGCUACCCACAGCGGGUGCAAGGCCUCUUUGGCUUCGUUCGACGGUUCGGAGGUUGCUGGCUUCCUUCCUAAGAGUCGGGUUGCUUGAGAGUGCAGCUCUAAGUGGGUGGUAAACUCCAUCUAAGGCUAAAUACAACCAUGAGACCGAUAGCGAACAAGUACCGUGAGGGAAAGUUGCAAAGAACUUUGAAGAGAGAGUUCAAGAGUACGUGAAACCGCUCGGAGGCAAACGGGUGGGACCUCGAAGGUCGAACGGGGGAAUUCAGCCGGUCGGCCGAGAAAACCGAUUCCAGUUUUUGACGGAUCCCGUGAAAACGGACCGGGCUGGCGGAAAGGUUUUUUUUUCAAUCGCGCCGGCCGGUGCACUUUCCCCUCAGUAGGACGCCGCGACCGGUCGGGUUUUCUAAAAAGAAAAACAAGUGCGGCCAUGAGGCGAGAAAAAUCAAAAAAAGGGGCAGGUGUCCGUUUCCGAGUCGGGCUCGUUUUCGAGUGGUUUCUUUUUUCGGAAAGGAAUUCUUGGAUUCGGGUCGUUCUGUUCGGUCGGAGUUACAGCCUCUUCUCGACCCGUGCACCGCCACCCGACCGACAAAAGGUCACGACAAUAAAAAAACCGUUGACGCGUGCCCGCGUACACAAAAAGCGCUCGCCCUCGUCCCGGGCAGGCUGGGUGCCGAGUAUAAAGUUUCUUUCCAUCCAACAGGAGAAAAUUUAUUUUUUUCUGGGGAAGAAAUCCGACGGACGCCGGUCUAACAAACCGUAAAUAAGGCGGCCGCCGGCUCGGCUCCUGCUGUUGGCCCACGGGGAAUUGCGAUCUGGCGUGGAUAAGGCAUCGCUCGCGNNNNNNNNNNNNNNNNNNNNNNNNNNNNNNNNNNNNNNNNNNNNNNNNNNNNNNNNNNNNNNNNNNNNNNNNNNNNNNNNNNNNNNNNNNNNNACACGUGCUAAACCCGAAGGCGAAAUGAAAGUAAAAUGAAAAAAAGUCGCGUUUUGGUGCGGGGCGGAGAAGGAAGGGGGCUUGCUCUUUUUCUUUUUUUCCUCAAACCGUUCGCACUUUAUUUUUAUGAGGCGAGAUCCUAUCAAAAAUGAAAAAACUAGAUGUCGAAAGGCAAACGCCUCUUUCGUCGGGGGAAUUAUCCGGAAACCCUUUUACCGGGGAAUUUGGUUUUUUUUCUCUGUUCGUUAAGGCGGUCUAGAGGCGCAUCGCCGGCCCGUCUCGCUCGCUGCCCUUCUGCCGCCCUUGCUUGUUAUUUUCUCGAUGGUUUUCCGAACUUGGUUGGGGGGGGGGUUCUCCUCCUCCUUUCCUAAACCGGUAGCCCUCUCGGGCAAGCUUGCAUUUCGGUAGGCGUUGGGACUCGCGUCGACGAGGCGGAGCAAGAGCAUACACGUUGGUACCCGAAAGAUGGUGAACUAUGCCCGGGCAGGACGAAGCCAGGGGAAACCCUGGUGGAGGUCCGUAGCGAUUCUGACGUGCAAAUCGAUCGUCGGACCUGGGUAUAGGGGCGAAAGACUAAUCGAACCAUCUAGUAGCUGGUUCCCUCCGAAGUUUCCCUCAGGAUAGCUGGCACUCACUUGAAAAGCAGUCUCAUCCGGUAAAGCGAAUGAUUAGAGGCAUUGGGGCCGAAACGGCCUCAACCUAUUCUCAAACUUUCAAUGGGUGAGAUGCCCGGCUUGCUUAGGCUGAAGUUCGGGUUAUCGUAGACUUGUUUGGAUGCGAGUUGCCAAGUGGGCCACUUUUGGUAAGCAGAACUGGCGCUGUGGGAUGAACCAAAAGCCGGGUUACGGCGCCCGAUGCAGAGACGCUAAUCAGACCCCAUGAAAGGUGUUGGUUGCUAUAGACAGCAGGACGGUGGCCAUGGAAGUCGGAAUCCGCUAAGGAGUGUGUAACAACUCACCUGCCGAAGCAACUAGCCCUGAAAAUGGAUGGCGCUCCAGCGUUGAGCCUAACCCCGGCCGCCGGGGCAGAAAAAAGUUUUUGUAAAAAAUUNCAANCCCCCNNNNNNNNGGAGGGNCGGGGGGGCGNGNNNNAAGGGANUNGGGNGGGACCCCCCCCGGACCCCCCCCGGGGGCAAAUUUGGGGGGAAGNAGAAAAUACUCGAGGGAAACCNGGNGGGNUGAANNGGAGAAGGGUUCCNUNUGAACAGCANUUGAACNUGGGUCNGUUGGCCCUAAGGAAAAGGGGAAACCCCUUCCCAAGGGNUGUAAGUNGGNUGNAANAAAANAAAUGNCCGGCANCAAGUUUCGACCGAAAGGGGAAUCGGGUUAAUAUUNCCGAACCCGGANGCAAANAUCGGCCGUCGAUUUUUUUUUUUUUCUACCUUUAAGUUCCUUGAAAUUUCCCCUUUCGGGGGGUCUUUUUAAUUGGUUCAGGGGUGAAAGAUGAAAACGGCGGCCAAAAGCGGUAACGCGAUAACGAACUCGGAGAUUGUCGGCGGGAGCCCCGGGAAGAGUUUUCUUUUCUUUGUAAAGGACGUACUCCCUGGAAUCGGUUCGCCCGGAGAGAGGGAUGUUUAGUUCCUGUAAAGCACCGCGGCUCUUGCGGUGUCCGGAGCGCUCUCGCCGGCCCUUGAAAAUCCGAGGGAGUGAAAAUAUUUUUGCACCGGA
RNAcentral lists this ribosomal RNA (2752 nucleotides) under Geophilus truncorum. Its description in RNAcentral is "Brachygeophilus truncorum partial 28S ribosomal RNA". It matches the Rfam family "Eukaryotic large subunit ribosomal RNA", at positions 74 to 1841 of the family's 3401-position model. Lineage: Eukaryota; Metazoa; Arthropoda; Chilopoda; Geophilomorpha; Geophilidae. The record is from RNAcentral.